Helianthus annuus (common sunflower) is the source of this 530-nucleotide long non-coding RNA. RefSeq lists it as uncharacterized. Lineage: Eukaryota; Viridiplantae; Streptophyta; Magnoliopsida; Asterales; Asteraceae. The transcript has 3 exons. The record is from RefSeq and is a predicted model, not a curated record.
AAAACCCACACACUGUACGUGUGUGGAUCGACCAGGAACAAGAAAAACAAGGGCUCACCCUUGUUCUCACCAAAUUCACCAAAUUGACAAGGGAAAAUCGAUGAUUAUCAAUUGCAUGUGGUAGAAUUUCGAUCAGUUACCCAUAUCCAAUCAAGUGGCGUGAAGGAAGAAGGCUCAAGUGCUAAGAAAACGGAAGGUUCACAAGAUCGAGGUAAAUCCUCGACUUAGGCAAUUGGACGACUUGGAACGUGCACACAUGGUUUACGCCCGCUUCUCGCUUCCGUUGUUAAACCCUUUUUGAAUGGUCUAAGUCUUGGUCUUAUGUUAUUAAGCCUAGUUAGUAUGUUGUCAUUUUGUCGUAGGGUAAAAAUUUGUUAGAUGGAAAUCAUGUCGUGAUCAAUGUGGACUUGUUUGUUCGUUUUGGGUUUCUGUCAAAGAUGUUUAAUGUUUAAGUUUGGUUUGUAAAACAGGUGGUUUAUGAUGUUAAACGAAUAGGUCAUGUCGAAAUUUCAAAAAUAUUUUCCUACUUA